CUCAAAGCUGCGGACUGGGGGGUGGGCUGGAUCAGAGUGAACAGGAGCGGGCAGGCUGGAGUUGGGACACAUUCUCCAGCCUCUUCUGUUUGCAGGUGCCUGAGGACACCUUCAAACCUUCUCUGCUCCGUUGUAGAACUUUUUCCAGCAAGGGGGAGAGGAAGGACAAAAGGCUAUGCCUUGGGCUCCAAAGUUUAGGAGAGGAGCCAUGGAGAUGGACAGAGAGAGAUCCCAUUGUCUCUGGACACUGCUGGCCAAGGGCCUCCACCUCAGGAGCUGCUGCCUCUCAUCCACUUCCGGGGCGAGGGUAAUGGAAGCUCCCUACCGCCAAGCACCACGACCCUCCCCUGCCUUCUCCAGGCCUAAGGGUCAAGCUGCCAGGCCACCAGGCAGUGCCAGGUCCUGGCACAGGCUAGGUGCCUUCUGACUGUUGGUUGAUGCAGGAAUAGACAUGAUCAUGUGACUGCUGCCCUCCCUCCAACCCCCAUCCAGCAGGGAGAGGCCCACUCUGGCCUCUGGAAGCCGGAGAAGAGGCUCACCUGCCCAAAGGCCUUCUGUCCAAAGUUCAAGGGAGCCCCACCCCUCCCAGAUGCUCAGCUCACCCCACCCCCAACAGGCAGGGCUACAGUGUGGUGGGCACUGCCACACCCGGACCUGCCACAACCUCUUGGAGUCAGUGACAAGAACCAAACGCACCCCAGCCUCCACCCCUCCCCUUUCCUGCUUUUAUUAUUUUCUUUUCCAUAAAGAUUAGUCUGUGUUGCUCCUCUAUCAAGGCCUGGAGGAUAAACAUGUGGUCCGGAGGCAGAGAAACCCCAGGCCUGAAGGCCCCACUGCCCCCACCCCAGCAGCAUAAACCCAGGGCUUUUAAGCAAGGAAUGGUUUUCAGUAAAUCUCUCCUAUCAGCAGAAACCUUUGAAAGAGUUUGUUUAAAGGCCAGGGAGAUAAACAGCAAGGAGAAGUGUUUGUUUAAGAUGUAUGUUCUGUGUGGCCACUCUGGGGCCCGGAUUUACAUCUCUGGGGAGAGGAACCACUCGGAGGCCAGGGUGGGGGCCUUCCAGGGGCACCUUGGGCUCCCGGUGUGGACUUCAGCCCAGGCAGGGACCCAUGAGCUCAGGGGAGGGAAGUUAGCUGGACUGCACUCACAGGCCUCUCCAGGCUUGGGGCAAGAAAGCAGGGGCUGAAAGGAGCUGCAGGAAGGGAAGAAGCCCUGUAAAGGAGGGGAGGGGUGCCUGGAAGGACCUGCUGGUUGGAAUGCAGGCAGAAAUCCCCUAGGAAGCCACCAAACACACACACACACACACACACACACACACACAAAGCUCAGAACAGGCUCAGGCUCAAGGCCCACCCCAAACAGCCUCAUACUCAGCAGCCCAAUACACAGCUGGGUAUGGCCAGCUCUGUGACCUUGGACAAGCCACCUAACCCAGAACUAGAGCCCUAGUUCCUCUCUGCUGUGAAAACAACACACCUGCCUCAAAGGGUUUUGAGUUUUCCUCCUGUCAUUUGACAGAUAUCGCUUGUACACCUACCGUAUGUCAGGCACUGUUCUAGGUGCUUGGGAUGCAACAGUAAACAAAAUACAGCCUCUGUCCUUUUGGAACUUAAAGAGGAGGAAGAUAGGCAAUGAGCACAAUAAUCAGUAAAUUAAAUACUCUUCGGAAGGUGACAUGAGCUAUAGAAAGAAAUAAAGCGGGUACAAAGACCUGGGAAAGGAUGGUUAGGUUGGACCUCCCAGAGAAGGUGGUCCUUCAAGGAGAUGCAGGUAUCUGAGGGGAGAGAAGCUCAGGCAGAACCCUCAGCCAGGGCAAAAGCCUGGAGGAUUGAAUAAAAUACCUUAGGGUAGGUGCUGAAGCAUAGUCCUGUGGUCAGUAAAUAACGUCCAAUGUUGUCAUUAUACUGAAGCAGUUACUGAGGCCUGGGAUGGGCAGGGAAGCCUUCAGGGAGGAUGCAGGACUUAAGCUGGGUUUUCCCUGGAAUUCCUUCUCCCUGCCAAGUGGAGAGAAAGGCCCUGCAGAAAAGCAUCAUGGAGGUAGAGAGACAGGAGAAUGAUGGCAGAGCUCAUUCCCCAAACCCAGUGGUGGCCAAGGGGUGUAGGGACCAACGCAGCUGGAUUCUCAAGGAAAGUCUUUGGCCUGGGUCAGGAGUCUGGGCUCCCAGUUCUGGCUCUGCCCCUUGCUGGCAGGUGAUUUGGGGCAAGUGAUUUGAAGCUUCUUGCGUCCUUCUUUUCUCUACGGUAAAAUGGGAAUAAUAUAUCCUCCCUUCAUUGAAUUGGUUGAGAGGAUGAAAAGAGAUAUGGGGCCAGGCGCAGUGGUGCACACCUGUAAUCCCAGCACUUUGGGAGGCCGAGGCGGGCGGGUUGCCUAAGCUCAGGAGUUUGAGACCAGCCUGGGCAACACAGUGAAAUCCCAUCUCUACUAAAAUACAAAAAAUUAGCUGAGCAUGGCGGCAUGAGCCUGUAGUCCCAGCUAUUUGGGAGGCUGAGGCAGGAGAAUUGUUUGAACCUGGGAGGUGGAGGCUGCAGUGAGCUGAGAUCGUGCCACUGCACUCCAGCCUGGGUGACAGAGCGAGACUCCGUCUCCAAAAAAAGAAAAAAAAGAAAAGAGAUAUGGUGGGUGUUUCUGCCUGGAACAUAGCAGAUGCUCAAUAAACAUUGGAUUUGCAUUUUGGGCUGUCCUGUGCCCUUUCAGACUCCUUUUGGGCACUUUCCUGAAAGGAUGAGCCAGAUGGUGAUGAGUCUACUGGGUCCCAGACUUGGAGGAGAAGACGACUAAUAGCUGAGCAUGGUCCCCACGUAGCUGAAGGGCUGUCCCGCCAGAGAAAGCCUAGAUUUGUUCCAAAGGGGCUCCAAAAGGAAGGAAGAAGUUUCACGGACACAGAUUUUCAUUUGCACUCAGGAGGAAUUUGGCAAUGGUCCGGGCUAUUUAACAGCAGGAUGGACCUCUAUAGAGACAGCUAGCUCGUGCUAUUAGGAAUUGUGUGGGCAGAGGUGGCUGAG
RNAcentral lists this long non-coding RNA (3001 nucleotides) under Homo sapiens (human). Its description in RNAcentral is "HSALNT0106124". The record is from RNAcentral. Lineage: Eukaryota; Metazoa; Chordata; Mammalia; Primates; Hominidae.